GUGAGUGGUGAAGCAUCCCCAACAAGGGUCUGUCCCUUCCAAGUGGCCCUGCCCAGCCACAGAAAAGCAGGUAUGUUCAAGGCUGUGUAUCUUAGUUUUCUUCUGCUAUAAUAGAGGAUCACAGACUGGGUAAUUUAUAGAGAAUGGGGGUUCAUCUGGCUUAUGGUUCUGGAGGCUGGACGUCCAAGAUGCAGGGGCUGCCUGGUGUCUUGCUGCU
RNAcentral lists this long non-coding RNA (217 nucleotides) under Marmota monax (woodchuck). The record is from RNAcentral. Lineage: Eukaryota; Metazoa; Chordata; Mammalia; Rodentia; Sciuridae.